Molecule: microRNA precursor, 203 nt
Filed under: Oryza glumipatula
Lineage: Eukaryota; Viridiplantae; Streptophyta; Magnoliopsida; Poales; Poaceae
Description: MIR812 microRNA precursor family
Rfam family: MIR812 microRNA precursor family
Source: Rfam by way of RNAcentral
UAUAAGGGAUUUUGAGUUUUUGCUUGCAACGUUUGACCACUCGUCUUAUUCAAAUUUUUUUGAAAUUAUUAUUUAUUUUAUUUGUGACUUACUUUAUUAUUUACAAUACUUUAAACACAACUUUUCGUUUUUUAUAUUUGCAAAAAAAUUUUGAAUAAGACGAGAGGUCAAACGUUGCAAGAAAAAACUCAAAAUCUCUUAUA